Molecule: ribosomal RNA, 253 nt
Filed under: uncultured bacterium
Lineage: Bacteria
Description: partial 16S ribosomal RNA
Rfam family: Bacterial small subunit ribosomal RNA
Source: RNAcentral
UACGUAGGGUGCAAGCGUUGUCCGGAAUUAUUGGGCGUAAAGAGCUCGUAGGCGGCUUGUCACGUCGGAUGUGAAAAUCCAGGGCUCAACCCUGGACCUGCAUUCGAUACGGGCAGGCUAGAAUUCGGUAGGGGAGACUGGAAUUCCUGGUGUAGCGGUGAAAUGCGCAGAUAUCUGGAGGAAUACCGGUGGCGAAGGCGGCAUCCUGGACCGGCAUUGACGCUGAGGAGCGAAAGCCAGGGGAGCAAACGGG